UACGGGGGGGGCAAGCGUUGUUCGGAAUUACUGGGCGUAAAGGGCUCGUAGGCGGCCAACUAAGUCAGACGUGAAAUCCCUCGGCUUAACCGGGGAACUGCGUCUGAUACUGGAUGGCUUGAAUCCGGGAGAGGGAUGCGGAAUUCCAGGUGUAGCGGUGAAAUGCGUAGAUAUCAGGAGGAACACCGGUGGCGAAGGCGGAUCUCUGGGCCAUAACUGACGCUGAGGAGCGAAAGCAUGGGGAGCGAACAGG
Molecule: ribosomal RNA, 253 nt
Filed under: uncultured bacterium
Lineage: Bacteria
Description: partial 16S ribosomal RNA
Rfam family: Bacterial small subunit ribosomal RNA
Source: RNAcentral